This 464-nucleotide ribosomal RNA is filed under the name uncultured bacterium. Its description in RNAcentral is "partial 16S ribosomal RNA". It matches the Rfam family "Bacterial small subunit ribosomal RNA", at positions 29 to 507 of the family's 1533-position model. The record is from RNAcentral.
ACGAACGCUGGCGGCGUGCUUAACACAUGCAAGUCGAACGGAAAGGCCCUGCUUGCAGGGUACUCGAGUGGCGAACGGGUGGGUAACACGUGGGUGAUCUGCCCUGCACUUCGGGAUAAGCCUGGGAAACUGGGUCUAAUACCGGAUAGGAGCCAUUUUUAGUGUGAUGGUUGGAAAGUUUUUUCGGUGUAGGAUGAGCUCGCGGCCUAUCAGCUUGUUGGUGGGGUAAUGGCCUACCAAGGCGGCGACGGGUAGCCGGCCUGAGAGGGUGGACGGCCACAUUGGGACUGAGAUACGGCCCAGACUCCUACGGGAGGCAGCAGUGGGGAAUAUUGCACAAUGGGCGCAAGCCUGAUGCAGCGACGCCGCGUGGGGGAUGACGGCCUUCGGGUUGUAAACUCCUUUCGCUAGGGACGAAGCUUUUUGUGACGGUACCUAGAGAAGAAGCACCGGCUAACUACGUG